This 501-nucleotide ribosomal RNA is filed under the name uncultured bacterium. Its description in RNAcentral is "partial 16S ribosomal RNA". It matches the Rfam family "Bacterial small subunit ribosomal RNA", at positions 30 to 523 of the family's 1533-position model. The record is from RNAcentral.
AUUGAACGCUGGCGGCAGGCUUAACACAUGCAAGUCGAGCGGGGGAAGGUAGCUUGCUACUGGACCUAGCGGCGGACGGGUGAGUAAUGCUUAGGAAUCUGCCUAUUAGUGGGGGACGACAUCUCGAAAGGGAUGCUAAUACCGCAUACGUCCUACGGGAGAAAGCAGGGGAUCUUCGGACCUUGCGCUACUAGAUGAGCCUAAGUCGGAUUAGCUAGUUGGUGGGGUAAAGGCCUACCAAGGCGACGAUCUGUAGCGGGUCUGAGAGGAUGAUCCGCCACACUGGGACUGAGACACGGCCCAGACUCCUACGGGAGGCAGCAGUGGGGAAUAUAGGACAAUGGGGGGAACCCUGAUCCAGCCAUGCCGCGUGUGUGAAGAAGGCCUUAUGGUUGUAAAGCACUUUAAGCGAGGAGGAGGCUACUCUAGUUAAUACCUAGGGAUAGUGGACGUUACUCGCAGAAUAAGCACCGGCUAACUCUGUGCCAGCCGCCGCCGUAA